UGCAGCUUUGUCAAAUUCAGUGCUCUCUCCUGGGUGGGUUGCACUGGCCAAAGUGGCUGCAACAGUGAUUCUGUAGUUCAUGGGCCCCGUGUUUCCUUAUCGUGGACUCUGGGGAUAAAUAUGCACUGCAGACAAAA
Thalassophryne amazonica is the source of this 137-nucleotide small nucleolar RNA. RefSeq annotates it as small nucleolar RNA SNORA5. The transcript has a single exon. NCBI's taxonomy places the organism in Eukaryota, Metazoa, Chordata, Actinopteri, Batrachoidiformes, Batrachoididae. The record is from RefSeq and is a predicted model, not a curated record.